UCUGGCCCAAUUGUCCUGGGCUGCUGCUCCAGAGGCUGAGCUGAAACGCAACCCUGUGGUAAACUGGGCCUCUUCAGCCAGCCCAUAGUAGCCCAUAAUCACAGGGUGGUGCGCUCGUAAUUUCUUUUGUGGCUCAUCUUCUCCACGGCGACCCCCUCCUUCCCUCCCGACCUCUGCGCCGCCGAGAUCACAGACAACGUCCUCGAGCGGCUGCGCCGUGGAGAAUACAGAUCAAGAAGACGAGCAGGAGGAUUAGAUCCAGUCAGUUUGCCAGAUGGAGCGAGGGCCUAGGGGAAGGCCAUGGUCGAUGACCGCAUCGCGUGCCGGCACGGGUGUCACAUCCCCGGCUGCCUCUUUAUCCAUUGACCAUCUCACAGUUGUCCUUCUCCCAUGUCUGCGGCCGUUCUCUCAUCAAACUACGUGAGCCAACUACAACAAGCCAUCAGAUCACGUGUGGAGGUCGUUUCUGGCCGUCGGAUGAUUCUGGGCCGAACUGUCCUAAAGGGCAGCUACUCCCGAAGAAAAAUCUGAUAUCUGUGAUUGACCGGGCCUUUUCUGGCGGCCAUUUAGCUAACCGCUCCUCGCGACAUACAGAAGAAAGCCCCCGAUCGAUAACCGCUCGUCUCUCCUCUCUAAUUCCAUCCUCGGCCUCUCCUCUCGUCCGCAAUACGGAGUGCGCCGCCAUUCCGCCGCAUGGCGCAGUCCCCCACCCCCUCCCCGCACUGGAAUGACGCCUCCAUACCUCGCCCACGCGGGCCACCAAUGAGAGAGACGGGAUCCAGGCGCUUGCGAUGCGACCAACGCGACCCACCAGUGACAGAGAGGGGAUCCAGACGCUUGCGAUUCGGCCGACGCGGGUUCUGCGAGGGAUCUAAUCGGCGUGGUAAGAAAUUACAUCGGCAAGGAUAAUUCAUUGACCUGAAUUACCAUUGUUUCUCGAACAAUGAGAGAUGGGUGGAGGUACAUCAGAUAGGACACACAAUCGCCGGUGCAUAUAUAGAUGCAAAACUUACAACUGGAUCCCGCCUCCGGUUUGUUGCGUCAAUCUUUGUGUUUUUUGUGAAUAAAUGUGUGUUGUCGUCCUAUCGAUCAACAUGGACGUGCACUUUGAGCAGAGAUGAAACUCUACAUCAGAUUGCCUAUCUUCUAGGAAGCAAUCCAGCAUGGGCAAACUGAUUUGGAUGGCAGAAGCUAGGUGGGAAGGUGUCGGGAAGAGUUACCUCCAGAAUCAUCAGUGACAGCGCUCGUUCGAGGGAGGCAAGUUGCUGAACGUGGUGCAAACUAUAGCGACAAGGCGCCCACGGAGUUAUGUGAAUCUGCUGUGAAGUCAGACACGACAGCUCUUGAUGGACUAAGAGUGAAACCGAAAUGUUUGCACUCUGAUAUGGUAGAGGAGCUGACUUUCAUGAAGAAGCAAAACUUUAUGGAAACCAAAAUGCAGGUAUGCCCAAAGAAUUGACGUACUUUAUCGAUUUCUCUUAUUCUGAGUUCAAUCGCCAAAUGAUGGUAUUUGGUAUAAUACAAACACAAACAAUCAUCGGAUAUUCCAAUUAUUGAAUCAUGAGCUAUUCCGACCCGUCUUGAUUAGUGUCAUUUUCUACUGGUUCUCUUAUUGCAUGUUAACUAUCAAGCAAAUCGAAUUCAAUUACUUCACGCAAUGUUGGAUAUAUAGGCAUAUUAGCAAUGAUACAUCUAUCCAAGAUCAAGAUUUGUACUUUUGGACCCGUAGAGAGUUUUACUUGUGGCUGUAUGAUCUGAAUGCAUUUAUUCAGUACCAAGUUCAUCCUUCCCGUAACACUACUCUUCAUAUGUAUUGAUUUUCCUAACCCAUUCGAAUAACUAAACUUCAUCUAAAUAUCAAGUUUUACCGAUGAAGUUCUACUCUUAAGAAAUGGGUUAUGCAUAGAAAAGCGGCAUGCAGGUGUUACUAAAUACAGAAAUAGAUGUUGUUCCCAUGCACUUUUAAUUUGUCUGCAAUCCGACCAAAUAGUAUCUCCUGUUUAUCCAGAUCUUGCAAAGACUAAAGGAUAUUGAAUGUUUGCUAAAUGAAUAAUCCUACUGAAAGAACAUGUGGUGCCCCCAUGUUUGGUUUUGGUAAUUGAUGACGAUCUCUAUGGACUAAUGGUUGUCUUGAGUUAUAUUUGAAGGAUUUGUCCAUAGGCUUUUCUUGAAGUCCAUCUGUUGGUUUGAAGGAGUUUAUGA
Long non-coding RNA from Triticum aestivum (bread wheat), 2202 nucleotides. RefSeq lists it as uncharacterized. The record is from RefSeq and is a predicted model, not a curated record. The transcript has 5 exons. Lineage: Eukaryota; Viridiplantae; Streptophyta; Magnoliopsida; Poales; Poaceae.